Long non-coding RNA from Bradysia coprophila, 4166 nucleotides. The record is from RefSeq and is a predicted model, not a curated record. NCBI's taxonomy places the organism in Eukaryota, Metazoa, Arthropoda, Insecta, Diptera, Sciaridae.
UUGCAGUAAUUCAACUCUUAUGCAGACUGAACCACAUCUGUAAAAACCGUUUAGAAUCUUAAUAUAUUCAAUCUGCUACUUCUUUCAUUGAAACUCAUAAACCUAAUAUUUGACACAAAAUCUAUUACUUCAUUCAUUUCACGUGUCACCAUAUAAAUGACAGAUGAUUAGGCGUUUCUGAAACGACUCACUUUCCAAGACGAGUCGCAAUACUAAUUUUCUUCUAAGUAAAAUAUGAGCCGAAACGACACCCAUUAAUUUUCAUAUGGCUCACUCGUUCCGAACAAGCCUUUCAACAAAAUAAUUCGAGUUCGAUUCCCGUGUGAUUAUAUCCCAUUGGUAACGUCCUAAAACAAUUCACUAAAGCUUCAUAUUUUGGAUAGUUACAAUAGGGCAUGGUGGACGUACUAGUUUAUCCAGAAAACUACAAAAGCGCCAUCCGAGUUCUCAUAGCUGAACACGGUUGUUUCAUGAAGUUUUUUACUGAAAACUACAAAAGCGCCACAUUCAGCUAAAGAUAAUUUGCUGACAAGUGGUGAAAACGUCAACAGUAUCCAUGCCCUAUGUGUUUGGUGACUGGAACGAUGUACACACUGAAUGACUCCUAUGAUGAAUUUGCAUACAUUAUGUCUAAUCUACAUUUAGGCGAUCUAUCAAUUAAGCGCCUAACUUUCCUCAUAGAUUCUUUGUAUACUUCGAGGCGUUGUUCAGUUUCAACUUGUUAUCGGUGCUAGUAAAGCCUCUAUACUUGAAUAGAGCACGCACGAGGGCCACUGUCUGGGGUAAUUAUACUUGCUAUUGGUUUUUCUACACAAUUAUAGUUCAUCUAUUCGAACACAGAUGUCGCAUAGAUGUCAUGAUUGUGAAUUGAACAAGUGACGUAUAAAAACAUCGUUCUAGUUGUUUUCUCGAAACCUGCUAAAGCCAAUAGAGCGUUUCUUGAGUCCUAAUAAGGUCGAGAGCAGUGAGUACUCAUUUAUGAUCAGGAAAAACCCUUUCAAGAAUGUUUAUGACAGGAAUCGAACCCGAGCCUUAUAGGGUACGAGUCCAUCGCUCUAUCGAUUCAGCUACCUAGACAUAAAAAGGCUGUUAGUGCGAAACCACGAAAUAGUUGAAAAUGAUCACUUACGGCUAUAAUAAUGUCUUCUUCGAAAUAUUAUCUAAACAUUGGAAACUUAUCUUUUGUGUAAGGGUUGUUUAUGACAGACGUCUCCUCGUUUAGAGAUGGGCAAGUGCAAGUUUGACAUGUGAGUGACAGAAAUUAUGAGAUUUGGCUUAUUUUUCGGUGGCAUCGACAGUAACUAUUAUAAUAAAUGAAAAGAAAAAUUGUCUAACUAUCUAAAAGUAUAAAUGAAUAAUAAACUAUUUUUACCAUAAAUAAACAAAUAGAUGUUAAUUGAAUAUGAAAUUAUGAAAGUAAAAAAAGAAAAUUUAAUAAUAUUUGAACUAACACACACUGUGAAUUUUAUUUAGAUGAAAUGAACUUACUAACACACACACACACACAAACAGCUUUUUUAUAUAGAAACAGCGAAUUUUCGUAUAUUAUAUGAAAGAAAGUAAUUGAAUUAUAAAUUUAAUAAAAAUGAGAAGAAAUUAUUGAAAUAAAACAAAAAUUAAAUUUAAAAAAUAAUUUUAAAAAAACCAAACAAUCUAAUUAGAUAUUAGAGACAAGAUAAUAUUGACGAAUUACUUUACUGUUCCCAGAUUGUAUGUAAAGAAACAGGGCCGAACUGGCUACAAAAAGACGCUCAGGUUAAAUGUAGGAGAAGACGCGCUUGAAAUGUACAAAAGACGUCAAGAAGCUCUAUUGAAAGGCGACAAUAUAGCAAAUUCCAUAAAAUUACCAAAGGCGCAUUUGUGAUUGUCCAAGACGCCUCACAUGGAAAGUCCGGGCCUGAAAGAAAAGGACGUAAAAAACCUAUUGCACGUCAUAAAUGAUACUAAAGUCAGUCGUUCCCAAUAAGCGUAGCUCUGCACUCGUCUACAGACAUUGACAUUUCAAAUUAAAUUUUGAUGUCAUGUUUGAUCUGUCACAGUUUUCAUUAGCCCAAUUUCCGCGCUGAUAAAUUUAAUGUCAACAGCCGGACCAACAACUAUCCCCGAGCUCAUUAUAAACUUACACUGUGCACUGGGGUACGUCUAUAAGACUUAAAUAUGAUGAGAUCCUCAAAGGAUCUCAUAUUUUUCGAAAUCUGAAAAACUCUCGGCCCAAACGAAUUUCUUUAAGAUCUCAAGAAAGAUUCUUUGAAAAUGUUAUAGACUCUGACAGGAUUGUGAAUUUUCAAUUGCUUUUUACAACCUUAACUCUCGGAUUUAUGUUGUUUUUUUUUUGCCUUGUGUGAGGCCCACAAUGUGUCGAAGGUCUUCGUCGUUCCGGACUUUUGAGACAAAGUAAAACAAUGAAAGUGACUUGUCAAAAUGAACAAAUAAUACAGUUUUCUGCUCAGUUUUAACGUCACACAUAGCAUAGCACUACUGCUAGCAUUAACCCACAUAUGUCAAACGUCAAAAAUUCUCCAAAUGUUGGUACAUCACAUCAUGCGAUGAUUCUCCACGACGUGAUGAUGUGACGAAUUUUGUUACAUGUAAAAUUAUCAGAAGUGGUGGAUCUCAGAAAAUGGUGAUUACGUCACAUUCAUAAAGUUUACAGCCCUGGAUAGGACUCCUGUCUUAACGAAACAAAUACAAAGCCUAGUCUGAUAUCAUCAGCCUUUAAAUAUUUUCUAUGUUAAUGCUGUGCGCAUUGCUUUGCAUGUAGUCUCAAAACGAUAGAUAUUCUUUAAAUUCACUCUAGAUAGUAGGACCACUAUUUCGAUCAGUUCGAAAAUGUCAUUUUCAUAGCUAGGACCCGUCGGUUAUGAAAAAUAUUAUUCGUACCAAGGACUAUAAGUCUUUUUUAGCGUAUUCGAUGCCAGACCUCGCCUUCGGCUCUGUCUGGAAACCUCUCACACGCUUUAGACCUAGGUACGAAAUAUACUAUUCUCUUAUCAGCGACAUGGUUUCUGCCACUGUUUCGAUGUGAGAGACCGUGCAAUGCAAUUUCAUAAUUCCUCAAAAGUUUGAAAGAAUUAUUUUUGCCAACAUCUCAUCAGGCCAUGACGACAGUGGCAAGGAAACAAGGCUAGUCAUAUCCUCUUUCGAAGUUUCGUUCUUCGUUCGUUCUUGCACAACACUCGUGAGUGUUUUGUUGUCAUUUCUCUUCAGUCCAUGGCGAAAGUGGUACUGGUACAAUACUCAUAAUACCUACUAUACCAUUUUGUACACGAACAACUCAAGCGAAUAAAUGAAAUUUCCGAACUUGCUAGCUCUUUUAGAGUUAGGACUGAUGUUUAAAAAAAAGGCUCGUCGAAUUUUAAUGCGAUAAACAACUGGGAACUAAAUUGGACUUUUAGUUGUUACUUUUCUUACACCAAAUCCGAAACGCUUUCUUUACAAAUCUUAAAAUAAAAUUUACAAAAUAUUAUCACCACUGACAACACCACAGCUCUAUUGAAUAAUAAUUUUUAAUUAAAAAAAUAAAAUAAAAUCGGCCUCUCGUCACGGAAAUAUUUUCUUUUUCCGUGUUUAAUAGUCUUUUUCAGCGCAGCAUCUUCACACCAAUAUAUUCGCUACUUUUAAAUAUAACUUAAAAAAAUUUAUACAUAAAAUUGAUCCCCAAUGAUAAUAUUCUAUUGAUUUAAAACUUAAAAUAUAUUUUUUUACAAUUAAAAAGAAAUGGAAAAUGGAAAUCGUUCAAAAAUAUUUUUAACCUACAAAUGGAGGAUGGACAAAUAUAUGUAUGAGAAUGUUGUAAUUGUAAUUAAAAUUUAUAGAAAUAUGUUAAUAAUAUAUUGGUCUGCCAAUGAAACUUUUUUUCUUUUAAUUUUUUUGUUUCGUUUUUUUUUUAAGUGAACAUUCAAUCGGCCCAAUAAAUAUGUUACCCCAUAAUACUGUACAUUGUAGGGUAAAUAUAUAUGUCGCUUCAUUUUUUCGCUAAAGUGAUUAGUUGGUAAAAAAAAAUAGUUUUUAAAGAGAAAGUAAUCAGAUUUAAAAAAUUAAAAUAAGAAGAAAAAAAACAUAAAAAAUUAUAAUUAGUAGGCCUAAGAUUUGCUAAUAUAAAUUUGAGUGAAAACAAAAAUUAUAAAAAAAAAUAAUUCGACAAGCAUCCAAAUUUAUUUAAAAAA